Molecule: ribosomal RNA, 506 nt
Filed under: Dialister invisus
Lineage: Bacteria; Bacillati; Bacillota; Negativicutes; Veillonellales; Veillonellaceae
Description: bacterial SSU rRNA
Rfam family: Bacterial small subunit ribosomal RNA
Source: RNAcentral
GACGAACGCUGGCGGCGUGCUUAACACAUGCAAGUCGAACGAAAAGACGGAAAGAGCUUGCUCUUUUCAGAAUUGAGUGGCAAACGGGUGAGUAACACGUAAACAACCUGCCUUCAGGAUGGGGACAACAGACGGAAACGACUGCUAAUACCGAAUAAGUUCCAAGAGCCGCAUGGCCCAUGGAAGAAAAGGUGGCCUCUACCUGUAAGCUAUCGCCUGAAGAGGGGUUUGCGUCUGAUUAGCUGGUUGGAGGGGUAACGGCCCACCAAGGCGACGAUCAGUAGCCGGUCUGAGAGGAUGAACGGCCACACUGGAACUGAGACACGGUCCAGACUCCUACGGGAGGCAGCAGUGGGGAAUCUUCCGCAAUGGGCGAAAGCCUGGCGGAGCAACGCCGCGUGAGUGAUGACGGCCUUCGGGUUGUAAAACUCUGUGAUCCGGGACGAAAAGGCAGAGUGCGAAGAACAAACUGCAUUGACGGUACCGGAAAAGCAAGCCACGGCUAA